CACGUAGGCGGAUCGGAAAGUUGGGGGUGAAAUCCCGGGGCUCAACCCCGGAACUGCCUUCAAAACUAUCGGUCUGGAGUUCGAGAGAGGUGAGUGGAAUUCCGAGUGUAGAGGUGAAAUUCGUAGAUAUUCGGAGGAACACCAGUGGCGAAGGCGGCUCACUGGCUCGAUACUGACGCUGAGGCGCGAAAGCGUGGGGAGGCAAAACA
Molecule: ribosomal RNA, 209 nt
Filed under: uncultured bacterium
Lineage: Bacteria
Description: partial 16S ribosomal RNA
Rfam family: Bacterial small subunit ribosomal RNA
Source: RNAcentral